RNAcentral lists this ribosomal RNA (253 nucleotides) under uncultured bacterium. RNAcentral's name for it is "partial 16S ribosomal RNA". It matches the Rfam family "Bacterial small subunit ribosomal RNA", at positions 524 to 776 of the family's 1533-position model. The record is from RNAcentral.
GACAGAGGGUGCAAACGUUGUUCGGAAUUACUGGGCGUAAAGCGCGUGUAGGCGGCCAUCUAAGUCGGGCGUGAAAUCCCACGGCUCAACCGUGGAAGUGCACUCGAAACUGGAUGGCUAGAGUCCUGGAGAGGAAGGUGGAAUGCUUGGUGUAGAGGUGAAAUUCGUAGAUAUCAAGCGGAACACCGAUGGCGAAGGCAAUCCCCUGGGCCUGCACUGACGCUCAUGCACGAAAGCGUGGGGAGCAAACAGG